GACGAACGCUGGCGGCGUGCUUAACACAUGCAAGUCGAGCGGUAAGGCCCGUUUCGGGGGUACACGAGCGGCGAACGGGUGAGUAACACGUGGGUGACCUGCCCUCAGCUCUGGGAUAAGCCUGGGAAACCGGGUCUAAUACCGGAUAUGACUCCAUGACGCAUGUUGUGGGGUGGAAAGCCUUGUGCGGCUGAGGAUGGGCUCGCGGCCUAUCAGCUUGUUGGUGGGGUGANGGCCUACCAAGGCGACGACGGGUAGCCGGCCUGAGAGGGCGACCGGCCACACUGGGACUGAGACACGGCCCAGACUCCUACGGGAGGCAGCAGUGGGGAAUCUUGCGCAAUGGGCGAAAGCCUGACGCAGCGACGCCGCGUGAGGGAUGACGG
Molecule: ribosomal RNA, 386 nt
Filed under: uncultured bacterium
Lineage: Bacteria
Description: bacterial SSU rRNA
Rfam family: Bacterial small subunit ribosomal RNA
Source: RNAcentral